RNAcentral lists this ribosomal RNA (314 nucleotides) under uncultured fungus. Its description in RNAcentral is "eukaryotic LSU rRNA". The stretch from base 1 to 71 matches the Rfam family "5.8S ribosomal RNA", at positions 84 to 154 of the family's 154-position model. Lineage: Eukaryota; Fungi. The record is from RNAcentral.
GUGAAUCAUCGAGUCUUUGAACGCACCUUGCGCUCCUUGGUAUUCCGAGGAGCAUGCCUGUUUGAGUGUCAUUAAAUUCUCAACCUCACCAGUUUUGUUAUGAAACUGUGUAAGGCUUGGAUGUGGGGGUUUGUGCAGGUUGCCUUUGCGCGGUCUGCUCCCCUAAAAUGUAUUAGCGAGUUCACUGAGCUCCGUCUAUUGGUGUGAUAAUUAUCUACGCCGUGGAUUGGACUUAGACUUGCUUCUAACCGUCCGCAAGGACAAUCUUAUGACAAUUUGACCUCAAAUCAGGUAGGACUACCCGCUGAACUUAA